GUUAACGUAGCUUAAACAAAGCGCGGCACUGAAGAUGCCAAGAUGGGCCGUGAAAAGCCCCGAUAACA
Molecule: transfer RNA, 68 nt
Filed under: Pisodonophis cancrivorus (longfin snake-eel)
Lineage: Eukaryota; Metazoa; Chordata; Actinopteri; Anguilliformes; Ophichthidae
Description: tRNA-Phe
Source: RNAcentral